Molecule: long non-coding RNA, 10822 nt
Organism: Hemicordylus capensis (graceful crag lizard)
Lineage: Eukaryota; Metazoa; Chordata; Lepidosauria; Squamata; Cordylidae
Exons: 2
Source: RefSeq, a predicted model, not a curated record
AGUCUCUCUCCCCCCCCCCCCGCCCCGUUUUUCUCAGAUUUUUCAACUGGGGUAGAAAUGGGGGAAAUUUCCUUGUGAGGAGAAAAAUGCUUUCUCCGCUGAAGUAUUAUUAUUAUUAAUAUAUAUAUUUGACAAGGACUUUAAGCUCACUUGCUUUAGCAUUAGUUGUACAUUAUUCAAAUUAUAUAAUAAAUAAUAAUAAUUCAAUUUCUAUAGCGCCCUUCCAAAAAUGGCUCAGGGUGGUUUACACAGAGAAAUAACAAACAAAUAAGAUGGAACCCUGUCCCCUCCCCAAAGGGCUCACAUUCUAAAAAGAAACAUAGAUAGACAUCAGCAACAGUCACUGGAAGUACUGUGCUGGGGGUGGAUAGGGCCAGUUACUCUCCCCCCUGCUAAAUAAAGAGAAUCACCACGGUAAAAGGUGCCUCUUUGCCCAGUUAGCAGGGGUUAUUGCUUUGUAUCACUACUGCAGCUUGUAAGUUUAAUGGGUGGAUAUUGUUUCCUUGGGACUGUGGAUUGAGGCAUGUGGUGUCUGGUAAUAUCUCUGUUAUCUCCUCAAUUGCAGAGAAGCCAUCUCUUAAGGUUACAAAAAGGGGAAUCAGGGUAGGGCUGCCAUCUGGAAAAAGAGGACAGAUCUCUUGUACCUUUAAGAAGAUACAGAGAAGUGAAUUUCAGCAGGUGCAGCUUGUUAUGUGGAGGAAAUAAAAGCUGCAUCUGCUGAAAUUUCCUCUUCUGUGAAUCUAAUAAAGGUACAGAACACCUGCCCUCUCUUCCAUGUGGCAGCCCUUAAGCUGGGUGAUCAGCACCAGACCUUUCAAGCUCAAGCAUCCCAUAGAAUGCUGGGAUCAGGAAGGAUCAUUUUGAUCCUUCACCUUCCAGAUAGGUAAGGAUGGGAUGCUAGUCCUUUAAAAUGUGGGAUUAUAAAACUGUAAAGGAGUGAAACAAAAAUUAGUAGAGCAGAUGAUGUAGUAGAUCAAAUUAUGUGGAAUUAAUUUUGUGAGUAUUUGAUGGGCUUCUAGGCCGCUAUACUUCUCAGUGGUAUAACUGGAUCCCUCUGCAGCCAGCAUUCCUGAAGGGACUGGCGAGGGAGAAGUCUCUACUGGCUAUCAUUUGGGUGGGCAUAUGUUCUGCACAGAACUGUAGCUGGCUGGUUUAGUGGUAACUGCAUUCCCCAUUAGCUGUCUUACACAGCUGUCUUGUGUGUGUGUGUCUGUCUGUCUGUCUGUCUGUCUGUGUGUACCAGAGAGGGCAGGAGGCAGCAAUUUCUGGCCGCUGCUGUGCACUCUGCCACACUCAGGUAAGUCUUAAGGUAAGUCUUAAGGGGUGGGGGGCUUAAUAUGCUUUUAUUGGUCAGUAAAAACUUUUUCUCCCCAUCAGCUUGGAUCAAUGUUUGUAGCUGACUGGAGUUCCAGAAGCAGAUUAAAUCCAUUGCUGUUAUCACAGAUGUAUUUCACACACUGAAAUUAACACAGUUUAUGAAGAAAAGGAAGGGUUGGGCUGGAUGUGGGGCAGCCUGUUGAACCAAUUUUAAACCAUGUUUUCUCUCUCUUCAACUAGUCUUGAAAUUCACAGGCCUUACCAAAGCCUGCCCUUAUCCAGGGCAGGCCUGUUAUCUCCCCAGUCUGUGCCCUAGCCUUGAUGUUCUGUGCUGGGCCUCCCCAUGUCUCUUCCUUUCCAUCAUCAUAAUAAUUAGACAAAGCAGCAUCUAAUACAAUUGUUUCAGCUCGAGCAAGCAAUUAGGCCAGGCAGCAAGGCUAAUGAGCACCACUCUUCCUCCUCAUCAGCCUUCUCCUCCCCGCUCCCCACUCACUCCACCUUGUCCACUAAGCAAAGCUUAUUGCUUCAUGAGCUGCACUUUCUAACAUUCUCUGGAGCUGGCAACCAGAGCAACCCCAAGGUCGUCCUGGGCUGUAGUAUGCACACAUGCAUGUGUGUGCGCACACACACACCCCUAGACAGGAGGGAGUUAUGCAGCUGGCAGAGAGCUGAAGAAUGCAGACCUGAAAGCUGCACUAUAUAUGUGUGCAUCUGUGUGGCUGAAAGCCUUUCAGAGUUCUAGCUUUGGGCAAGGACUAGGUAAUAGUAGGCUGCACAUUGUCUAUGAACAUGGGCUGCUGUCAGGAGAUUCCUCUCAGGAAAUACUGACACAUGCCAGGAGCAGGUGGCUGGGCUGGCUCAACUUGUAUUGGAGAUUCCCUCAAUAAUUGCUUAUGCAUGCUGCCAACUGUGGGUCAGGAUCCUGUGGCAGAGCCAUUAGCUAGCCAAGGAGCAGCUGGAAAAUGUGCAAGUCAGCUUCUCUGUGAAAUAAACCUGGGUUCUUGGAUCCAAAGUGCUUCUCCAACCCCUCCUGGCAGACUUGGUGCCAGUUGUUGCACAGGAAAAAUGUGCUAAACGGCUGUAGGGAGAAGGGGAGAGGUGUCAUGGACCAUGCCUGCAAAGAGAAUAGGUCAUUCACCUGUUCAAGUACUCUGAGGAUCAGAGAUCAUUAAAGAACAAGCAUAAAUCUACACUAAAAUUGUAUAGCACUUUAAUACUAAUUUAACUAUAAUUGAGCAGAUGGGUUCAAAGAACCUGGGCCCCGCCACUCGUGAGGGCCCUCCAGCUCCACCCCUCCCUAUUUUCUUCAUUAUCUCCCUCACUUACUCCAAGGGGUCACCGGGGAGGGGUGAACACAGGCCCCCUCUCCCUUUGCUGCGCCCCUGUUUAAUGGUCAAGGUUUCCCACAACAAAUCUGUACAUGAACAUAUCACUCCCCCCCCACUCCCGCCAGUAGGUCUGACAUCAUCUUUGAAGAAAAGGCAUAGGGGGACAGGUUAAACAUCCUGUUACACUCUUGAUUCUCACUUCUGAGUGAGGAGAUGUUUCAGAUGAAACAUGUGUACAAAAUACUUUCUGAAAUGAAGUGAAAAUUAAUUUCAGAAAUGCUUUGGAAUUUGCAAAAUGGAAUAGGAUUUCCCCCCACAGAAGUGAAUGGGGUCCCCCCCUAAAAAAUCACCACUUGGUCCUAGAGCCUUGAAACUUGCCACACAUGUGGAUAAGGAUUUCAGGGGGCCCUGUAACAAAUCUACAACAGUCAGUCCCCAGAUUUUUGAUGAAUUUUCAACAGAAUGUCCUUUUCCCUCCACAUGGGGUGUGUGUGUGGAAUGAUGGUCCAAGGAGUGUCUUCAGAUUCAGAUGGUUUUGUAAAGUUCUAGCUUUAAACAAGCCAGAUCUCCUCAUUUUUUUAGCCCUUAAAAACAAAUUCACCCAAAACCAGAGGACUGUCCAAUUCUCUUCAAAUUUACUACUGGCAGCCCCGAUCUUCUUGCACACGUGUGGCAAGUUUCAAGGCUCUAGGACUAACCAGUGAUUUUGCCCCCUGCACCCCCGAUUCCCCCAUUGUCUGCUAUGGGGGAAAAUCCAAAUUUAAGUUGGAAUUAAGCUGCCAUUUCUAUAUCAGUUGGGUUCUGCUCUGCUUGUAAAGGUUACACAUUUUGAAAAGUGUAUAUGGGAUUACAUUGACACUUCUAUCACGGCAUGACAGCAAUGAGCAAGGAAAGCUGGGGUUGUGCACAGCUGUUGGGAAAGACAAGAUACAUAUGGGCACUGCUCUGCCUGAGUGCAUGUGAUUCAUGUGCCCAAUAGGCAAGCCCCACCCUGUCCUCAGCAGCCUCUCCAGUAGUUUGGCACAAGCGGUCUGCAGCUCCUUUGCUCAGUAUUCAUAAUGUCGAGCACUAACAUGGGGGUUUGGUGAGUGGGGGGCAGAAGAGAUCUUAAGGGGUGCUGGCCUGGGCAGUCUGGAGUCAGUUGGGGGGCAUAUUCUUUUUGGAUGUGCAUGGGAGGUUUUCAUUGGGCACCUGUUUGCAGCAGAGGUGCAUUUUACCUUCCGAGCAUGACUUCUAGUGGGCCCUCUUGCCCUUCCUUGCUGCGUUUAGUGGUUGGGGGGGGGCGUUCUUUGGCUUGGGCACUGCUUAGGGCAUCUUCUUUUGGAUUGCCUCCCCCUUUUCCCUCUGAUUCUUCAUUCCCCCCUUCCCACUGGAGACAGAACUAGUCCAAGCUUUUGAGUAGCAGAAGGGGAAGUAGGGCCAGGGUACAGGUGGGCCCCAGCCUGCUCUGAAACCUGCUUCUGGUAAGCAUGGCACUUCUACUAAUGGGCAUUCACAAUUAUUACAGGAGAUGAGUGCCAGGCUUCUGGCCUUGAAGAGAGCAGCUGACACCACUUCAUCACUACACUUACCAGCGGACUCAGACCUAGUACCUGUGCCAAAUGCUUCCUACAGUGAUGUGGGUCCCCUGGUGAAGAUGACUGGAAUGUAUUAUACCAGCAGUGGACUAGCUCUGUAGCUAAUGUUUUGCAGCUUACCCUUAUAACAUGUCUGCUUGGUCAGCUGCAACAUUGGUCGCACAGGAACCAACCAAGACAUCUGCCACGCCUUCCACUCUUCAACUUUCAACUUUCAGCGUGGGAAAAGAAAUGGGCUUCAUAUAAAAAAGUAGUUGCUGGGGUGUGUGGGCCUCAGUCUGAGUUGCCUGAACUCCCAGCAGUGUCUGAGGUGCCUUCACUGCCCAUUUUGCUUGGAAAUUAUCCUCACAGGAAUGUUUCCAUGCCAUCUUCCAGGUGACCAUCUUCUCCUGUCUCCAAAGAAGAAAAGAUGGGAAAAUGUGUUGAUAUUUUCUCUGCUUUUUUUUGCGAACCUGGCCCCAAGGACUUUGACAAAUCUGACAACACAGAACAGGAGAUGGUCAACUGUAAGCCAGUGGACUGUAACUGGACCAAUUGGCUGGCAGAAUAUCUUGUUUAUAUGGGAGUGGUGCUCCAGAAGCGACUAGGGCAUGGUCCCUCUUUGGUUAAAUAUCUUGCCAUAUUAUAUCACAAAUUUUCUGAGUUUAGCAGGCCAGCUUGGGCUAGGUAUGAUGAGUUAUUAUUUAUUUAUUUAUUUAUUUAUUACACUUAUAUCCCGCUCUUCCUCCAAGGAGCCCAGAGCGGUGUACUACAUACUUGAGUUUCACAACAACCCUGUCACACAACCCAGUGAAGUAGGUUAGGCUGAGAGAGAAGUGACUGGCCCAGAGUCACCCAGCUAGUAUCAUGGCUGAAUGGGGAUUUGAACUCCGGUCUCCCCGGUCUUAGUCCAGCACUCUAACCACUACACUCUCCCAUGGGAUGGGCAUCAGCCCCUGUUGUGGCUGCAGAUUAGAUCAUCCAACUGCCCCAUAAAGAGAGAUUAUUUUGAUAGUGGCAGUCUACUGGUAAUCUUUACCUCUCCCAUUGACACUGCUUUCUUUUUCAGAUGGUAACAUGGCAAGCCUGCCAGUCUGCAUUCUCAUUUGUGGCCAUAGCUUCAUGUUUUGGGCCAGUUGCUUGGCACUCCAGCAUUGGCACCCAGCUGGCUGUGGUAGCGGUGGAGCAGCUAGGCCAGAGGGUGAUAUCUUGGAGCAGCAUUUUGCUUCUACCUGAUGAGUAUACUACGACAAAUUGAUCCCCUGACAUUCUGAUUGUGCACCUUGGUAGCAAUGACUUGGAUAGCAAUGACUUAAAGGCAAGACCCUGAUUUCACAGGCCUUAGCAGAUGUUACUGUUCUGAGAGCCUGUUGGCCUGCAGUUCAUUUGUUAUAGUCUAACCUCAUCCCCAGAAGCUCGUGGUGAUGUGAGAGUGACCCUAGGAUGAUCAACAGAGCCCUCAGGAAAGUCAAUGGGGAGAUUGGCAGGGCACUUCUCUCACUAGGUGCUGGCGUAAUUGCACAUCCUUCAAUCAAGUUUCACUUGUCCUGCCUUUGUUGGAGAUGGAGUUCCAGUGCAUCGACCUUUUGCACCAACUAUCCUAAUGAUCACUAGGGGAAUUGGGAGUAGAAAUAGUGAGUAAGGGUCUCCCUAACUGUUCUACCUGUCUACUCUAUGACCCCUGAUCUGACUCUUCCACACUUCCUGUGCUGAGUCACAAUCCUUCGUUUCCUACUAGAGAGAAGAUGGAAACAUCUCUCUCCCUUCUUACCUAUUCAUUAUGUAGUCCUUUCGAUUAGGAUUAGGUUUUUCCUAUCCAAGUGUACUUACCCAAUAAAUACUUAGUAUUUAGUUCUACAAGAAUCUCCAGGUGUUUUCUCUAAAUAAGUGCAACAACUAAACCAUCCCCUGCCAACUACUCUGUAACUGGAGUGUGUGCUCUCUUCCUUAGUGCUCUGCUUUUUACCUUCUGGGGGUAAAAUUAACCGCCCCCAACAACCUUUACAGAGUGGAUGGGGUUCAUUGUUUGGAUGUGGGUAAUGAUUUGUUUCUUAAGGAUUUGCAAUGGGCCUUGUUUAAACUGCUUAGAUUUUCUGGAGAAGAAGGCUAAACUGAGGUUUGCCUCCUUUUGUGGCAGGGGAGUGCAGGCUGGGGUGGGCAGAUUUGGUUAAUUGUGUACAACCAGGGGCACCAUUAGGUGAAGGGGAACUCUAUGGAACAGCCCCCCAGAGUUCUGUAGCUCAGGGUGGCUGGGAAUGGAACCACUUGGGGAGUUGCUUGGCUCACCCACACAGUUUUGUGACUUGUGGGGUGGUGAUUCGUGCAACCCUUUAGAGGAAGCCAGGAGUUUUAGGACUGCUGGCAACUUGCUGACCUGGUAGUUUCACCCUGCAGUGUUAAGUGACUCUCCAUAGGAGGUGCCUUUCACAAGUAGAUGCCCGCACUCCAAUUGAAUUUGUGUUUGUGCCAUUGCAUUCCUGGAAAUAGUUAAUAAAGUGCAGUCUUAGUUAACCCAUUUAUAUUUGUGUUGUGUCUUCCUUGGGGCCUAGGUGCAAUGCACAAUGCAAAAAAUAAAUUUUAAAAAUCCCCAACCUGUUUCUCCAAAGGGGACAAUUAAAAUGAAUAAAUAACCAGCACAGAGUUUAAAAAAAGAUAUCCACUAGUCCAAUGCCCUGCUCAGAGCAGGAAUCUGCUACAAUACCAUCCCUGACAGAUGGUCAUCCAUCCUCUGUUUGAAAAUCUCCAGUGAAAGAGAGCCCACCACUGCACCAGGGAGAUUGUUCCACAGUGAAACAUUUGCUGGAUUAGGAGCAUUAUUUGAUUAGUCUUUAAAACAGCACUGCUUGUACUUCCUUAUCCUAGAUAUCUUAUUCCUUCAAAUUCUGUUUUUUCUGUUAUUGCUUUUUUUUUUUUUAAGAAGGAAAGCAUGACUACAAAAAGUAUUGUAUGGUUGUGUUGCAAGGGUUACUGUAAAGUGUGGAGAGAAAGCUGAGUACAUGUAGUUUCUGCACUGACAUUUUUUAAAACCCUGAAGCAGACACCCAGGCUGCCAUUUCCAGUGGGAGACAUGUUGUGGGGGUGGAGGGUGGGGUGGAAUCUUAAUCCAAUAAUCUCUGACAAGUUUCUGCCUCCAAACUGCAUCACUAAUCUCAUAAAUAAGAAAAUGUUGACCAGAACUGAGGCUCAGUAUUUCAGGUUCCGUUUACAGACUCCUGGAGGAAAUACAUCCUUUCCAGGAGCCUUUCAAUCCUAAGGGAAUCAAUUAGUUAAUUAACCUCCAAUUAUGGUACAGAAUAUUAUCAGUUGCUGACAAAUGCUGACUUCUAGGUAGGAAUGAGAAAACAAAGUGUUACAAUGCCCCCCCGCCCCGCCCCGCCCCCCGCCUUCUGUUUGAUACUGCAGCCUGGGCAAUUACUUUAAACAAAAAAGAAAAACACUAGGGGAAGAAAGCACUACAAGUGAGUAAUGUAAUGCUUAGUUUGCAACUUGGAGCGUAUGCAUCAUUAACAUACAUUUAUUCUGCUUCCAUUGUUUUUCAUAUUUGUGUUAGGGUGUUCCCCCAUUUCUUUUUCUUAUAUACAUACAAAUUGCUAGUGUAUAAUCUUCUAUAAAGGAAAAGUGAGUGUAUAAUAUUUUUAACAGCAGUAAUUUACCAAUUCUAGCCAUAAAUCUAUUUUCAGAUUGUCACAAAAUAACAUGACCAUCUCUAUAUGAUCUAAUAUUCUUUUACAAGAAGUCAUUUAAUCUGGGGAUAUCUCAAUUCCUCCAGUUUAUUGCAACAAAGUAGACCUGACAAUGGGAGAUCUGUGACUCAAUUCCCCCACCACUUUUAAGACAAGAUUUUAAUAGCAGCUAUUGGCAGGGAGUAAAUUCAUUUUGGACCCUGGCACUGGGGGAUUUCCUAAUGAAAAUUGGCCCCCAGAGUUAUUUAUUCUUCAGGGGGACAUCAUGCAAGUACUCAGCCGGAGUAUCCCAUUAGCUGGUGCCCAGUAUUUGAUUUUUACUAUAACAGCAUUCAGAAGGGGUACACUAGAUAAAACAAAUGGCGUUUAGAAUUAUUUGAGAAAAUGCUAUCAUAUCCUCAUGGGCCCACUGCUUUGUUGUCUUUUUUGCACACCCCCAUUGGGCCAUAGUCUGCUGGGUCAGGAAAGUUAAAUGUCUGUGUGGUGGUGGGGAAACAUUUGAAUAUGUGACUGAGAGGCACAACUCCAUCCAGAAGAGAGCAGACGCAUUUCCUCACAGGAGAAGGGAGCAAAGAGAAGAAAUGACAGCAGAUGGAGCUGCUGUGACUGUUACUUCUUGUUUCUAGUCCCUGAUGAUGGUGAAUGAGGUGAGCUGGUUAUUGUGGAUACUUUUUGGAGGGUAGUUCCAGGAGUUACCCUGCUAGAAGUAGGGUCUGAUUAAUUUGGGCUUGGACCUAAACCCUCAAAUAGCUAAUGGAGUAAAACUGUCCAACCUAGAAAUGAAAUGAAAUGUGGGCAAACUUUCAAAAUCAGAAUUUUGAUGAAAUCAGAAUUUGAAAUUCAACUGUUUUAUAUUUCUUUCAUUCAUAGAACCAAACUGCAUGAAUUCAAUUGCAAGUCAGAUGCUAGAGAGCAUUUAUAUGCUUUGAGAAUUCAAAGUACUUCACUGGUCGUAUUCUCUUCUUGGAAACCUGAGAACAUCCCCAUAAAAUAGGGCAGUAUCCCAAUAUGAUGGAGAUGGGGACUGCAGCUGAGAGAGUGGAUUGCCAAAACCUAACUUAUCAAAUGAAGAUAUUAAAGAAUAACUGAGUCUGGCAUGAAUGGAUAAUAUUCAUUGGGGCUCCAGGACAUGCGAAAGAUGCAAAAGGAGUCAGGACUUUGGAAAAGUAAUUUGAUUCUACAGAGCAGCCCUCACCACCCAAUCAUCAGCAAGCAUUACAGAUGACAUUGUAAUUAUGUUGCCAAUAUGGCUUUUUGUAUUAUAUACCAUUCCUGGGUUGGCACCAGUGCCGGCUAGUGCUUCAAGUCCCACACUGGUUUUGACCUUCAAUAGGAGACAUUUUUCAGUGCUGCUUAUCUUUGCUCCAACUGUUGGAUCUCUGUUGGGUUGCAGUAGAUCAGAGACAUGCCUCCCUAUUAGCAGAAAUGGCUAUGAUAAGAUAGAGAAAUGUAUAUAUGAAUAUCUGGGUCACAUAUCUAUGUGAUCACUGAAGCAUGGAGUGGGUGCAUGGAUGAACUCUGGUGUGUGCACCUUGGACAGAUGCUGAAGAGCCCUGUCUCUUUAAGUACUACUUGCAUUGCUCUUGCCAAUAAUAUGCAUUAUAGUUAGGGAUGUACUUGGAAGUGUUUUGGCACCUUUAUUUUGAGGCUUUGAAACGCUUCGAGCUGCCCUCGCUGAAUCAUGUUGACAAGGGACACAUGGACACUUCAAAAGGAGGAAGGCAGGUUUUACCUGCCCUUCCCUUGCUCCUCCGCCCCACCCCGCCCCCUGCACCACCACCAAGUGGCGCUAUUUGUAUUCAGCAGCCAGGCUCUCUGUUUGCCCUGCUGCAUCUUGCUGGGAACAAGAAGUUUCUUGUUCCUGGCAACAUCGGGAAGGAAAUGGCACCUGAGCAUGUGUGGAUGCCAUAUGGAGUGUUCAGUGCUGCUGAAUGUUGCAACCGCAAACAGAGAGCCCGACUGCUGAAUGCAAACAGUGCCACUCAGAAGUGGUGGAGGAGCAAGGCAGGGGCAGGUAAGAUCUGCCUUCCUCCUUUUAAUGUGCCUGCUCUCCCCUCCCCGGAUGUGCACAAAACGCUUCGUGCACAUCCCUAAUUGUAGUAGAUUUCUCUUCCAUUUCCAUGCUUAUAGAAAACUGUAAUGUUCUCUGCUCAUCAUGUGGCAUGUCCAGACUGUUGUUUGUUGAUUUUCCAGAUGCUCUUGUAUAUCCCAACAAUAUAUAAAUGAUACCUUCUGAUACCACUCUGCACCAGUUUACAAUAUCUUGCACUGAUGCCCCAGUAUGUACUAUACACACAAUGCUGCAUUGCUUCUGAUUCUUACCAUAAUGUGUCAUGACACCUUAGUGAGUAUUAGUUGAAGAAUUUGUUGGAACAGGCCUCCAAUCCAAUCCAUUUUGCCCCUACGAGUCUCCCAGGCUGAACCAGGACCCUAGGCAGAUUGUCCAAAGCCAGAUACUGCCAAAAUACAAUUGCAUUUCCAUUUUGCCUAUUCCCUCCCAUCUGAUCAAACAUUUCAGUUUGAUUCACCAUUUUUUCCAUCAAUCUGUUCCCCUCUCUUCAUUGCCUCACCACCAGUGCUACCCUUCUGACUAAUUUUCCCCUCCCUUCAGAACUGCCUGUUCUAGGAUCCAUCUCUCAUAGCCUCUAUGAUUGUCAGCCAUUUCAGCUGGUACCAAAAUCUACUAUACACUAUCUAGGAACUCCAUUUGUCAGAACUCAGUGGUUUUCUUGCUCAUAUUAUUCUAUCUAUUUCUUGCUAGAUUCUACCUAUUUAGAUUCUAUCUAUUUCUUGCUCAUAACGAUUCUAUCUGAAUGUACUUUUUUAUUAAUUGCCCCAUGCAAAGGCUGUGUAUCACUAAUUUCUUCAAGUAGAUGAUUUAUUUAGAAUACCUUAAUCAAAGUGUAUUCUCUCAAUAAAAUUGAAUGUUGGUUUAUUA